Molecule: ribosomal RNA, 254 nt
Filed under: uncultured bacterium
Lineage: Bacteria
Description: partial 16S ribosomal RNA
Rfam family: Archaeal small subunit ribosomal RNA
Source: RNAcentral
UACCAGCACCCCGAGUGGUCGGGACAAUUAUUGGGCCUAAAGCAUCCGUAGCCGGUCAUGCAAGUCUUCCGUUAAAUCCAGCCGCUCAACGGUUGGGCUGCGGAGGAUACUACGUGGCUAGGAGGCGGGAGAGGCAAGCGGUACUCAGUGGGUAGGGGUAAAAUCCUUUGAUCCAUUGAAGGCCACCAGUGGCGAAGGCGGCUUGCCAGAACGCGCUCGACGGUGAGGGAUGAAAGCUGGGGGAGCAAACCGGG